AGAGUUUGAUCCUGGCUUAGGAUGAACGCUGGCGGCGUGCUUAACACAUGCAAGUCGAACGAAGCAACUAUCUUGCUUGCAAGAGAGUUGACUUAGUGGCGGACGGGUGAGUAACGCGUGGGUAACCUGCCUCAUACAGGGGGAUAACAGUUGGAAACGACUGCUAAGACCGCAUAACCCGCUAGUGUCGCAUGACACGGACGGAAAAUAUUUAUAGGUAUGAGAUGGGCCCGCGUCUGAUUAGCUAGUUGGUAAGGUAACGGCUUACCAAGGCGACGAUCAGUAGCCGACUUGAGAGAGUGAUCGGCCACAUUGGGACUGAGACACGGCCCAAACUCCUACGGGAGGCAGCAGUGGGGAAUAUUGGACAAUGGGGGAAACCCUGAUCCAGCCGGCGCCGCGUGAGUGAAGAAGUAUUUCGGUAUGUAAAGCUCUAUCAGCAGGGAAGAUAAUGACAGUACCUGACUAAGAAGCCCCGGCUAACUACGUGCCAGCCGCCGC
RNAcentral lists this ribosomal RNA (501 nucleotides) under uncultured bacterium. RNAcentral describes it as "bacterial SSU rRNA". It matches the Rfam family "Bacterial small subunit ribosomal RNA", at positions 8 to 518 of the family's 1533-position model. The record is from RNAcentral.